This 570-nucleotide unclassified non-coding RNA is filed under the name Hevea brasiliensis (rubber tree). The record is from RNAcentral. Lineage: Eukaryota; Viridiplantae; Streptophyta; Magnoliopsida; Malpighiales; Euphorbiaceae.
AAACAGAAGAUAUUUUCAUUACUUUGCCGACCAUACAUAAAAUAUCUUUCCCCAAAAACUUCAUUACCGGAAAAAAGGUCAAAAAGUACGAAAAAACCCACCGCCUUUAUCCUCCAUUUCUUCACAUAUACCUUCUUAUCUGAGGCUAAAAUUGACUUAUCACUACUCGGUUCUUUGUGUUGGUUGGUCAACCGGUAGUAUUCAGCUCCGAUCACCAGUUCCGGUAACUGGUAACCAUUGGUGAGAAAGCUUUGGGAUGUAAAUCGAGCUUAGUUUGAGCUGAAUCUGAGGUAGCAGACGAAAUGGAUCGAGGUCCGGGACCGUGUAUGGAUAUGCCGAUCAUGCACGAUAGUGACCGGUACGAUUUUGUUAGAGAUAUCGGGUCGGGUAACUUUGGCGUUGCGAGGUUGAUGACAGAUAAGCAGACUAAAGAGCUAGUUGCUGUCAAGUACAUCGAAAGAGGCGAUAAGAUAGAUGAAAACGUUCAGCGGGAGAUAAUCAAUCACAGGUCGCUGAGGCAUCCUAACAUAAUUAGGUUCAAAGAGGUGAUUCUGACGCCAACUCAUCUCG